RNAcentral lists this long non-coding RNA (952 nucleotides) under Aedes aegypti (yellow fever mosquito). RNAcentral describes it as "lncRNA AAEL020315". Lineage: Eukaryota; Metazoa; Arthropoda; Insecta; Diptera; Culicidae. The record is from RNAcentral.
UAACGGUUACUGUUAAUGUAUCAGAAAUAGUUGCUUUUAUGUAUAACCAUAUGGACUUCAAAGCUGUUCACCAUUUCAAACAGUAAGAUUAACCCAUACCUAUCAGUAACAAUAUAUGAUACUGCUCUGAUAUUGUUAAAUUAUAUGGGAAUGGAUUCAAGCAAGAUAUGGUGGAAAUAUACCGCCACCAUUCGACAAAUUGUUUUUGUUUAAAUUUGUGCAACACACUCACACAUUUGCAUUUGACAAUAUUGAACUACAUUUUAACAGUUCGACAAAUAGUUACAUUUUGUUGGUAUUUGUAGGCGACAUUUAAUCUAGCGUUGAGUGCAGAAAAAAAUCGCCGUCGGAUUGCCGUCGAAGGAAAACUGUCAAGCUGUAUUGUUUACCUACUUCUUAUUCUAAUAUUAAAACUGUUCAAAGCUUGCAAUUAAUUUAUAAAAGUCGAGUUGAAAUUAAGUUUACAAAUCAGCAAUUCACAAAAAAAAUGACAACUGUGAUCGACCCAGAACUGCGCACCAAAAAUCGAUACCGCUUGCCGGAUGGAGGAGGAAUUCAUCAAACUACAACGAAAAAGUAGCCAAGAAGCGGCAUCAGAUGACCCGGCUCUACAUGGACAACGGUUUGCUGGUGUGGAACGGAAAUGGUGCCAACGGGAAGGACAACAUCCAGAAGUACUUCCAGGAACUGCCCCGCUUCGAACACAUUAUGAACACCCUGCUCGCUCAGCCGAUCAUUGGCGACGCUGUGCCCUCGCAGCUAACGUUCAUCAUCAAGGUUUCGGGAACGGUCAUCUUCCAGGACAAUUCUACCAAACAUUUCCUGAAGACAUUCACGGUUACAGCUCAGGGCGACAAGUGGAAGAUUGCGAGUGAUUGCAGCGCUGCUUCCGGUUGCUAGAUGCUAUCUUUUAAGGGAAUCGAUCAAUACAUGGAUGCAUUGGAAGACGAUA